RNAcentral lists this ribosomal RNA (638 nucleotides) under Lopescladius sp. MK-2013. Its description in RNAcentral is "eukaryotic LSU rRNA". It matches the Rfam family "Eukaryotic large subunit ribosomal RNA", at positions 444 to 949 of the family's 3401-position model. The record is from RNAcentral. Lineage: Eukaryota; Metazoa; Arthropoda; Insecta; Diptera; Chironomidae.
GGAGAAAUUCAAUAUUGUCCUUAACAGACAAUGUGCACUUUUCUCUUAGUAAGACGCUGUGAUCCAUUAGAAAUUGGACCAUUCCAAUGGUUAUUGGGCUGCCAAUAGGUACGGUAUGAAGUUUAGUGGUGCAAAUAACGAAAUCUUUAACGGUUGCGUAUAUUGCCCGUUGAGCGUAUCCGUUUCCUGAUGUAGCUGUCUGAUGGAUUUUAAUGGCCAUAUUAUCGAUGUCUUGUACAUUGCCCAUUUCGAUGGGAUUGGAUAUGUGCCCGAUCAACAGCGGUUUUGAUUUGUGAUACCUUUGGGACCCGUCUUGAAACACGGACCAAGGAGUCUAUCUAGUAUGCAAGUAAAUGGGUAUAUGAAACCUAUUUGCAUAAAAAACUUAACUUUUUUAUAUGGGAUUACGUGUCACUCAUUGUGGUGAUUCCUCCAUCCCGGGGUAUUUUCAUCAACAUAUACGCAAGUAUAUGGAAAAUAUACCAUGAGCAUACUGGAUAUGACCCGAAAGAUGGUGAACUAUGCCUGAUCAGGUUGAAGUCAGGGGAAACCCUGAUGGAGGACCGAAGCAAUUCUGACGUGCAAAUCGAUUGUCAGAAUUGGGCAUAGGGGCGAAAGACCAAUCGAACCAUCUAGUA